RNAcentral lists this ribosomal RNA (138 nucleotides) under Periophthalmus magnuspinnatus. The record is from RNAcentral. Lineage: Eukaryota; Metazoa; Chordata; Actinopteri; Gobiiformes; Gobiidae.
AAGUGUUGCCAGACCUCUUUGUCAAAGCCUGAUCUCGUCUGAUCUUGGAAGCUAAGCAAGGUUGAUUCUGGUUAGUAGUUGGAUGAGAAACUGUCAGCAAUACCAGGUUCCUCAGUGGGGUGCCAGUGGCAACCUGUU